UAAGGCCUUACAGAGCUAAAGGCUGCGCAAUCAAAGCAGGUUGCGGAUAUAGGCUAUACCGGACAAUGAGGAAGAGUUAAGAAAUUAAAACGGACAAGUUUAUCACAAGAGCCGUUCUGAAUGGUAAAGCGUAUCCUGAUGGGGUGGGGAAGAACAAGAAGGAAGCCAAACAGAACGCAGCUAAAAAUGCCUUGAAAUGCUUGUUGGAGACUGAACAUCCGGACUCAGUUAAAACAUCUGCAGAUGAUAAAAACUGUACAUCAGCUCAACAAAUGGAGGAACAAAAUCCAAAUGUUUCUAAUAUCAGUAAGAAGGUAAGGCGCCUCAAUGUGAACUCGCAGCCUUAUGGGAACCAACAGAGACAAAGGGAGGAAAAUAGAGGGACAAAUUUCAUAGGACUUGUUGACCACUACUGUCAAAAAAAAAAACUAUGCCAUUCUUACAUUGAAGAAAGGAGAGACGGUCCACCCCAUGACCCUGUAUUUUUCUACAAAGUACUGAUCAACAAUAAGGAGUACCCUGUGGGUGCGGGUAAGAUUGUAAGGGAAGCGAAACAGAAAGCAGCUCAGCUGGCCUGGUCUGCUC
Etheostoma spectabile (orangethroat darter) is the source of this 585-nucleotide long non-coding RNA. RefSeq lists it as uncharacterized. The transcript is spliced from 5 exons. The record is from RefSeq and is a predicted model, not a curated record. NCBI's taxonomy places the organism in Eukaryota, Metazoa, Chordata, Actinopteri, Perciformes, Percidae.